AUUGAACGCUGGCGGCAUGCUUUACACAUGCCAGUCGAACGGCAGCGCGGGCUUCGGCCUGGCGGCGCGUGGCGAACGGGCGAGUAAUGCAUCGGAACGUGCCCAGUCGUGGGGGAUAGCCCGGCGAAAGCCGGAUUAAUACCGCAUACGACCUGAGGGUGAAAGCGGGGGACCGAAAGGCCUCGCGCUAUUGGAGGGGCCGAUGUCGGAUUAGCUAGUUGGUGGGGUAAAGGCUUACCAAGGCGACGAUCCGUAGCUGGUCUGAGAGGCCGACCAGCCACACUGGGACUGAGACACGGCCCAGACUCCUACGGGAGGCAGCAGUGGGGAAUUUUGGACAAUGGGGGCAACCCUGAUCCAGCCAUGCCGCGUGCGGGAAGAAGGCCUUCGGGUUGUAAACCGCUUUUGUUCGGGAAGAAAUCCUCUGGGCUAAUACCCCGGGGGGAUGACGGUACCGGAAGAAUAAGCACCGGCUAACUACGUG
This 484-nucleotide ribosomal RNA is filed under the name uncultured bacterium. Its description in RNAcentral is "partial 16S ribosomal RNA". It matches the Rfam family "Bacterial small subunit ribosomal RNA", at positions 28 to 507 of the family's 1533-position model. The record is from RNAcentral.